GAUGAACGCUGGCGGCGUGCCUAAUACAUGCAAGUCGAGCGAACAGAUGAGGAGCUUGCUCCUCUGACGUUAGCGGCGGACGGGUGAGUAACACGUGGAUAACCUACCUAUAAGACUGGGAUAACUUCGGGAAACCGGAGCUAAUACCGGAUAAUAUAUUGAACCGCAUGGUUCAAUAGUGAAAGACGGUUUUGCUGUCACUUAUAGAUGGAUCCGCGCCGCAUUAGCUAGUUGGUAAGGUAACGGCUUACCAAGGCGACGAUGCGUAGCCGACCUGAGAGGGUGAUCGGCCACACUGGAACUGGGACACGGUCCAGACUCCUUCGGGAGGCAGCAGUAGGGAAUCUUCCGCAAUGGGCGAAAGCCUGACGGAGCAACGCCGCGUGAGUGAUGAAGGUCUUCGGAUCGUAAAACUCUGUUAUUAGGGAAGAACAAAUGUGUAAGUAACUAUGCACGUCUUGACGGUACCUAAUCAGAAAGCCACGGCUAACUACGUG
This 497-nucleotide ribosomal RNA is filed under the name uncultured bacterium. Its description in RNAcentral is "partial 16S ribosomal RNA". It matches the Rfam family "Bacterial small subunit ribosomal RNA", at positions 28 to 507 of the family's 1533-position model. The record is from RNAcentral.